AGUGAACGCUGGCGGCAGGCCUAACACAUGCAAGUCGAGCGGCAGCGGGUUCCCGCGAGGGGAUGCCGGCGAGCGGCGGACGGGUGAGGAACACAUCGGAAUCUGCCUGGUUGUGGGGGAUAACGUAGGGAAACUUACGCUAAUACCGCAUGAGACCCUGAGUCGACGGACUGGGGGUGAAAGUGAGGGACCUUCGGGCCUCACGCGACCAGAUGAGCCGAUGUCGGAUUAGCUAGUUGGCGGGGUAACGGCCCGCCAAGGCGACGAUCCGUAGCUGGUCUGAGAGGAUGAUCAGCCACACUGGGACUGAGACACGGCCCAGACUCCUACGGGAGGCAGC
This 340-nucleotide ribosomal RNA is filed under the name uncultured bacterium. Its description in RNAcentral is "bacterial SSU rRNA". It matches the Rfam family "Bacterial small subunit ribosomal RNA", at positions 30 to 352 of the family's 1533-position model. The record is from RNAcentral.